AAGCAUAUCAAUAAGCUGAGGAAAAGAAACUAACUAGGAUUCCCUUAGUAACGGCGAGUGAACCGGGAAAAGCUCAAAUUUGUAAUCUGGCUGUCUUCGAUAGUCCGAGUUGUAAUCUAUAGACGUGUUUUCCGUGCUGGACCGUAUCUAAGUCCCUUGGAACAGGGUAUCAAAGAGGGUGACAAUCCCGUGCUUGAUACGACCACCAGUGCUCUGUGAUACACGCUCUACGAGUCGAGUUGUUUGGGAAUGCAGCUCAAAAUGGGUGGUAAAUUCCAUCUAAAGCUAAAUAUUGGCGAGAGACCGAUAGCGAACAAGUACCGUGAGGGAAAGAUGAAAAGCACUUUGGAAAGAGAGUUAAACAGUACGUGAAAUUGUUGAAAGGGAAACGAUUGAAGUCAGUCGUGUUCUUUGGAUUCAGCUAGUUCUUCUAGUCUACUUCCAUUGAACGGGUCAACAUCAGUUUUGUCCGGUGGAUAAAGAUAGUAGGAAUGUAGCUCCCCCGGGAGUGUUAUAGACUAUUAUUGCAUACACUGGGUGAGACUGAGGACUGCAGCUCGCCUCUUGGCCGGUCUUCGGACACGUUCGAGCUUAGGAUGUUGACAUAAUGGCUUUAAACGACCCGU
This 626-nucleotide ribosomal RNA is filed under the name Cutaneotrichosporon mucoides. RNAcentral's name for it is "LSU rRNA". It matches the Rfam family "Eukaryotic large subunit ribosomal RNA", at positions 36 to 652 of the family's 3401-position model. The record is from RNAcentral. Lineage: Eukaryota; Fungi; Basidiomycota; Tremellomycetes; Trichosporonales; Trichosporonaceae.